RNAcentral lists this ribosomal RNA (253 nucleotides) under uncultured bacterium. RNAcentral's name for it is "partial 16S ribosomal RNA". It matches the Rfam family "Bacterial small subunit ribosomal RNA", at positions 524 to 776 of the family's 1533-position model. The record is from RNAcentral.
UACGUAGGGUGCGAGCGUUAAUCGGAAUUACUGGGCGUAAAGUGUGCGCAGGCGGCCGAGCAAGUCGAGUGUGAAAGCCCCGGGCUUAACUUGGGAAUUGCGCUCGAAACUACUUGGCUGGAGUGUGGCAGAGGAAGGUGGAAUUCCAGGUGUAGCGGUGAAAUGCGUAGAGAUCGGGAAGAACACCAGUGGCGAAGGCGGUCUGCUGGGCCGUUGCUGACGCUGAGGCGCGACAGCGUGGGGAGCAAACAGG